This is a long non-coding RNA of Gallus gallus (chicken), 600 nucleotides long. RefSeq lists it as uncharacterized. Lineage: Eukaryota; Metazoa; Chordata; Aves; Galliformes; Phasianidae. The record is from RefSeq and is a predicted model, not a curated record. The transcript is spliced from 3 exons.
ACUCUUGAGCUGGAGGAAAGUACCAGGGUUCCAUCACAAUUCUAAGCCAACCAUCCCAUUGGAAGUCCUCUUUCCACUGCCACCUGUAUCUUUCUUUGGACUGGUUUACAUCUUCUGCGGACACAAAUCCUCAACACGUGCUCAUAGUUCACAUUCUAGAUAAAAUUUAAUGAAGUAAAUACAUCCAUUAAAAUAAAAUAUGUGAAAAGAUGAUCUAAGUGCAGGGCAUUAAUGAAGAACUCAUUCAGGAGGCUGUUGUAUCAGCUUGACAAGACCUGAGAAUUCUGUCAAAAAAAAGGCAAUUUCUGGAGAGUUUUAACCCUUCUGACCAUUUGGAUUAGCAGGCACACAAAUUGCCACGACAAAACACCCGCUGGGAACUACUAAUCCUGCAGUGUUUCUUCAUGCAACGUUUAAAAGUGCAGGCUGCUAUUACUUCAAAAACCAAGCAGGCAUUUCUCAUAAAGCUUCUCAGAUAUAUAUCAUAAACAGAUUUCAUUGAAGUGCUUUCUUUCUGUGCCAGUGCCAUUAAAGAAAAUGUUGAAUGAGAUUGGGAUCAAGACUCAUAUUUAGGUCUUCCACAAGUAACCUUCCUUCACC